UAAUAUGUUAGGAAUUAGGUAGUAAUGAUAAAUCUGAAACCUAAAGAACUUGGCGGUGUUUUAAAUAAUUGGAGGAACUUGUUGUUUAAUUGAAAUUCCACAACAUAUCUUACCUUAUUUUUGUUUGUAUAUCGUUGUUUUCAGACAACAUUUGAAGGUGUAGUCAAAAUUAAAAAUUUUCAUAAAAUCAAAUCAAGGUGCAGCAUUAUGGGGUUACAGUGAGUUACAAUACGUUUUAUGUAAACGGAAAUCAAAAUGAAAGUUAUGAAUGAAGGUGGAUUCAAAAGUAAUAAAAUAUUAAAAAGUUUUUAUGAAUAAAGAUUUAAAAUAUGC
Molecule: ribosomal RNA, 333 nt
Filed under: Chersonesometrus madraspatensis
Lineage: Eukaryota; Metazoa; Arthropoda; Arachnida; Scorpiones; Scorpionidae
Description: Heterometrus madraspatensis partial small subunit ribosomal RNA
Source: RNAcentral